AAUACCACAAUUUUCUAAACUUAUGACUACACUAUGUACAUACAUAUACUUAUACACAUCUCACAAAACAAAUAAAUUAAACUGGAGUAAAUCCCCUUCUCUGAGUAAUGAAUUAUUACCACGUGCAUAACUUGUUUCUAAUAAUAAUAAAAAUUAAGUUUUGAAAUAUUUAGAUAAUUGAAAGUAUGAAGUCAACCCUGCUUCCAGUGCAGAUAUUGCUGUCCAUUUUCUCCCCCCCGUUGAGACAGAGAUUUGUGGAUAAUGCAAUUUGGGAGAAGGACUUUCCCGAGAUGAGAUGGACCAUGUCGCCCGAAGACAAACGCGAGUGUCACCAACGAUUCAAAGAUUUACGGGACCCUGAAGCACACCGAGCUCUGAUUGGUUUAACUCUUGUAAAUUUAUGAAAUAAUUAAUUAACAACUAGAGUUACCGCCUAAUAAACAAAUCCGACACUUUUUUUCAGGACCAGCGUCUCAACCGGUUAGGAUAUCCGGUACAACGUAUAAACGUGACUACGGAAGAUGGCUACAUUUUAGGCCUCUAUCGAAUCCCUUUCAGCCCAAAGUCUCCCUUGGUGGAAGGCGUCGUCAAAAAAGCUGUAAUACUGCAACAUGGGCUCCUUGCCAAUGGUUUCGCCCUUUUUGGUCUAGGUUGCUCUAUACAUACGUAAAUAUUUGGUGGCGAAUUGUAAAUAAGUGAACGGUUGUAUUUUAAAAUUGACGUGACUGAUUGAUAUUUUUUAGGAAUUCUACUAGCCGAUUCGGGGUUUGACGUGUAUAUUGCCAAUUCUCGGGGAAAUAGCUAUUCUCAAGGGCAUAUAAACCCCGAUAUGACACUGGAUAAUUGGAAAUAUUGGGAUUUCAGGUAUGCAAUAUGUGCAUUACUCGUAAAUCGAUUAACCUUAGUUCAUUACGCAAUUAGAGUAUGUAUUUACAUAUCUAUUAAUUGAGUAGAUUACCCACCCAUUCCCCCUUUUUAUUAAGGGGGUAUUGGUAUUACCCUACUCUAUAUUUUUCUCUUUAGUUUUCACGAGAUGGGGAUAUUCGACAUUCCCGCCGUCAUUGAAACCGUUACAGACAUCACGAAACAGCAGUCCAUGUAUUUCGUGGGUAUAAGCAUGGGUGCCACUCUGCUGGCGGUUAUGCUCGCCGAGCGACCAGAAUACAACCCGCGCAUUGCUACCGCAUUUCUACUCGGCCCUUCCAUUUAUCUAGGUCACACUGCUUUGUAUAUUCAACCGUUCCUGAAUUUCGUGAAUUACUAUCAGGCAAGCGAAUUUCAAACAAAAAAUGUUCAGAAAAACUCAUUUAAUGUUAUGUAUCCCUGGAAGGAAUUAUUUUAAUUACAUUCUAGUACAUCUCGAACACACUUGUCGCUGGUAGACUAGACCCUGAAAUUGAGACACACCUACUGUUCGGGUCAUCACCAGCUCAUCUUUGUUCCAAUGAAAAAUAUGCAUGCGGAAUAUGUUCGAACAUUUUUUUCUCAAGGUUUGGAUAUAACGGUCCUCACAGAAAUUAUGUAUGUUACGAAAAUAUAUGUACAUUAAUUGACUGUUAUCAAGAAAUUGUGCAAAUACAUAUUUAUCUGUUUAAGACCACAAUUGGUCACCUACUUGGUACCUUCCCAGUGACCACGUCUACCAAAGCGUACAUACAUCUUUUGCAAUUGAUGAAAACCAAUAAAUUUUGUCAAUUUAACUACGGAUUUGGAGCAAUUAACAAAUUACGGUAUGGCCGAAGUAGUCCGCCCUGUUAUGACAUGCACAAUAUUUCCAGCCCAUUACUCGUAUUUUGGGGUGCAAAUGAUGUAUUUGCAAAACCACAGGAUAUUGCAAAAAUGGUGUCGAAAAUUCCGAAAAACGCGUUGAAAGAAUGUAUCAAAGUAGACUCGAAACACUUUACGCAUUUGGACUUUGCUAUAGCGAAAGAUUCUUAUAUUUUAGUGUACAAAAGAAUAAUUGAUGUAAUGUUGAACGCAACGUACGGAUGAUUAAAGAGCUAGAUAAAUCAAAUAUUUUUACACUCGGUUCGGGUAUAGAUUUGUUAAUAACUUCCUCCCGGAUUGGUAACAAUUUGUUUGUUAGUAGUAAAUUCUCACGUCACGGCCACUACGGUGUACUUCAUUUGAAUACGGUAAUGCCCGUAAUAUAUUGACUCAGGCUGGUAAUAAUUCGAUAAAAUUUUGCUAGGAGUGU
RNA transcript from Folsomia candida, 2197 nucleotides. RefSeq lists it as uncharacterized. The transcript has 3 exons. The record is from RefSeq and is a predicted model, not a curated record. NCBI's taxonomy places the organism in Eukaryota, Metazoa, Arthropoda, Collembola, Entomobryomorpha, Isotomidae.